RNAcentral lists this long non-coding RNA (717 nucleotides) under Nicotiana tabacum (common tobacco). RNAcentral's name for it is "long non-coding RNA (NTAB_LNC014651)". The record is from RNAcentral. Lineage: Eukaryota; Viridiplantae; Streptophyta; Magnoliopsida; Solanales; Solanaceae.
UUGGGGCACUCUGUUGAAUAACCAAGUAUGUUGCAUUUGCUACAGUCCGAAGAUUUCCAACAGCCAAAAGGACUGGUAAUCGUUAUGUAUUAACGAUAACAUUAACACCCAACAAUCAUGUUUGAUGUAAACCUAAGUUUUCCCGACUUUUGAGCCUUAUCUUCCAAUCCAUUUGAGGUAUUAUGUUUCAAGCAACUUGAACUUGUCGGUAUAGUUGUAUUACUUCUUUUUAGCUCUUCCGAGCUAAAGUUAAGAGCCACAUUUCUAUUUUGAGCCGUCUUCUAAACCCUUUGUUUCUUAAACUUGUCGGUAUAGUUAUAUUAUUACUUACUUUUAGCUCUUUGGAGCUAAUGUUAAAAGCUACAUUUCUCUGUUGAACCAUCUUGUGAACCAUUUGUUUAUUUUUUCAUCUCUUUUCUCAGGUUUGAUCGAAUGAAGAGAUUGGAAUUCGUCGGGCAGUACCACAGUGGAGCUGGCCUUCUGGCUUCUAUCGCCGUUACUCAGUUAAUGAUGUCAUUAGCUAACGGUAUUAGGGAAUUAGUCUAAUUUGAAGGAAGAGUGGGCAGUCCUCAACAUAGGGAAAGCAUACAAUUUUUCUGAUGUUCUUGAAAUCUGAUUUUCUAGGAAAUAGGCAUUGAGCUAAAGUGAUGUAAAUUGUGAAACUCUUUAGAAAUCUUUUGUUGUAUGUGUCUUUGCAAAUGAUUUACAGAAUGCAAU